RNAcentral lists this transfer RNA (58 nucleotides) under Neotoma lepida (desert woodrat). It matches the Rfam family "tRNA", at positions 8 to 63 of the family's 71-position model. Rfam says of the family: Transfer RNA (tRNA) molecules are approximately 80 nucleotides in length. Their secondary structure includes four short double-helical elements and three loops (D, anti-codon, and T loops). Further hydrogen bonds mediate the characteristic L-shaped molecular structure. tRNAs have two regions of fundamental functional importance: the anti-codon, which is responsible for specific mRNA codon recognition, and the 3' end, to which the tRNAs corresponding amino acid is attached (by aminoacyl-tRNA synthetases). tRNAs cope with the degeneracy of the genetic code in two manners: having more than one tRNA (with a specific anti-codon) for a particular amino acid; and 'wobble' base-pairing, i.e. permitting non-standard base-pairing at the 3rd anti-codon position. Lineage: Eukaryota; Metazoa; Chordata; Mammalia; Rodentia; Cricetidae. The record is from Rfam by way of RNAcentral.
UAGUUCAGAUGGUGGAGCAUGAGACUCUUAAUCUCAGGGUCGUGGGUUUGUUCCCCAC